RNAcentral lists this transfer RNA (63 nucleotides) under Oecanthus rufescens. RNAcentral describes it as "tRNA-Phe". The record is from RNAcentral. Lineage: Eukaryota; Metazoa; Arthropoda; Insecta; Orthoptera; Gryllidae.
AUUUAAAUAGCUUAAAAAAAGUUUAAUAUUGAAGAUAUUAAGAUGGUUUAGAACCUUUAAAUA